GCAGACGGGUGAGUAACAUGUAGGUAUCUGCCCUAUGGCCUGGAAUAACACGAGGAAACUUGUGCUAAUACCGGAUAAGUCUUUACGGAGAAAGCUUUAUGCACCAUUGGAUGAGCCUGCACUUGAUUAGUUUGUUGGUGGGGUAAUGGCCUACCAAGACUGUGAUCAAUAGCUGAUUUGAGAGGAUGAUCAGCCACAUUGGGACUGAGACACGGCCCAAACUCCUACGGGAGGCAGCAGUGGGGAAUCUUGCACAAUGGAGGAAACUCUGAUGCAGCGAUGCCGCGUGAGUGAAGAAGGCCUUUGGGUUGUAAAGCUCCUUCGUCGGGGAAGAAAAUGACUGUACCCGAAUAAGAAGGUCCGGCUAACUUCGUGCCAGCAGCCGCGGUAAUACGAAGGGACCUAGCGUAGUUCGGAAUUACUGGGCUUAAAGAGUUCGUAGGUGGUUGAAAAAGUUGGUGGUGAAAUCCCAGAGCUUAACUCUGGAACUGCCAUCAAAACUUUUCAGCUAGAGUAUGAUAGAGGAAAGCAGAAUUUCUAGUGUAGAGGUGAAAUUCGUAGAUAUUAGAAAGAAUACCAAUUGCGAAGGCAGCUUUCUGGAUCAUUACUGACACUGAGGAACGAGAGCAUGGGUAGCGAA
This 640-nucleotide ribosomal RNA is filed under the name uncultured Alphaproteobacteria bacterium. RNAcentral's name for it is "bacterial SSU rRNA". It matches the Rfam family "Bacterial small subunit ribosomal RNA", at positions 98 to 772 of the family's 1533-position model. The record is from RNAcentral. Lineage: Bacteria; Pseudomonadati; Pseudomonadota; Alphaproteobacteria.